This 5154-nucleotide long non-coding RNA is filed under the name Capsicum annuum. RNAcentral's name for it is "long non-coding RNA (CANN_LNC005311)". Lineage: Eukaryota; Viridiplantae; Streptophyta; Magnoliopsida; Solanales; Solanaceae. The record is from RNAcentral.
AAGAACAACACGUACAACUUUAACAGCGAAGACCGACACCGACCGUACAGCUCCGAUCCGACCCCUAUACAACCCUCAACUCAAUUUUUCUUACACUUUCCACCUAAAAUUCUCUUCCCCUUUUGAUUUGUGCACUUCAUGAACCCUCACGAGGAUUCGUAUUAAGGAAGGGUCUCGAACCUUCUGGAAAAGCACUGAAACGUUCAAAAAUUCAUUUUUCUUGGGUGGAUCCGUACGAAUUCAUACAUAUUUCUGUGAAUUUCAUUGGUUCUUGGGGAUUAUUCUUUUUCCCCAAUAUCUAUUGGUUAAACCCAUUCAAUUUUCUUCAAGAAAUCAAAAAAGUCAGUACAAGAAUGAGGUUAUAAUCCCGUCCUCAUCUCAAUUUUAAAAAUAUCUCAGUUAAAAUAUUUCUAAACUACCUCCAAUUUUUCCCAUUCCGCAUUGAUUGAAACUCAAAUUGAACCCCUAAUUUCUUCUAUAUAAAACUCUCUUUGGAGCAAAAUUGCCCAAGUCUCAAAAGGGUUGGAAAGGCUUUUUGAGCAAAGAAUUAAUUUUUUUAGUAAAACUUUUUAGAAAGGCAGUCGAUUAAUCAAAGUUUUUCAAAAGAUUUCUUUCAGUGGUGGUAGAUUUUGAUGAAGCUCGAGUCCCAUUUUGCUGCUCCAGAAAAGGUAAACACACCCUUUCCCUUUUAGUUUAUUGCUUUUCUUCUUCAUCUCUUUCUUCGUAUCAAUCUUUAUGUAGUCGUAAUUGUAGUUGGUGGGAUUGUUGUUGUAGACAACUUUGAAAGCCAUAGGUUGUUGUGAAGAAAUGGUGAAUGACGUCUUUGAGAUGAUAUUUUGUUGUUCUUGACCUCAUGAUUUUCAUUCGAGUUCUUGAGAUUACUAUUUCAGCUUUCUUGAUGAUUUUCUUUUUCUUAGCUUUGGCUUGUGGCCUUAUCAUUUAGUUUGUUCAUGGAUCGAUUCAUUUUUUUUUCUAGCCAUAUACUUGCCUAUUGAUUAAACACAUACUGAUUUUAGCAUAUUUGUAGCUGUGAAGUGUUGAAGUUUCUGUUUUGUUUAAAUGUUUGGGAUGCUACAACUUCCUCCCUAUUUCAACCAGUCCCUCAAUUGGGGUGUAUGUUCAUUGAUUUUCUAUGAUUCAUAAUACUGGUAGAGUGUCAAUGGCUCGAAAAGGGAAAUAGUUUUUUCUCGAAAAUCAAAGCUAGAGAAACGAGACGCAUCCUUGCUAUGAUAAGUUUCCACCCGUGAAAGUUUUUUUUUUUUAAUCAUUUGAUACUUAUGAAUGAGUAUUGAUUCUUUUCCAUUUCUGUGUUUUGUUUGAAGAAUCAAGUAUAGAAGAGAUUUGUUUAUCUUAUCCUGAGGUGAUAAACCGUUGUGUUCAAGGGUCUUUGCUACUCUAUUAGUUUAGGCUCUAAUUUGGUCGUAAGUUUCCUUUGUUUUCUGUACGAAAUUCCCCGAUUACAUGAGAAAUAUGGAAGUUAUUUGAGUCAUUUAAAUCGACUAUUCUUUGGCCUAUACAACCGAAUAAAGUUUUCUUUGAUGAAUUCUAUUUAAUGUUCAAUUCAUUAUCUUCUAGUGGUUGUCAGUGGAUAUAUGAAGGCCAAGGACCGAGCUUUAUCUUAAAGAUUGUUAUUUUGUCAUUAGAAUCGAUCCAUGUGUGGUUGACUUAGAUUCGACAUCAUCCCCUCUCUUGUUAAGAUUUAAAGCAUAUUUGCACUUAGGCAUGAAGCUUUUCUUUUUUGAAAUGAUUGGAAACCUGUCUUCCUUUGGUCUGUGGUCUGUGAUAACAUAAGGAUAUUAUAUAGUCUUGGUAUUACCAUAUUUUCUAGCAAAAUGUCAACUUGCAGUUUCCCAUUUUUGCCUAUAUUGUUGAAGUCACUGUUAUGUCCUUGAAUAUGCUUAAAAGACUCAAUUUGUUGUUCUCUUUGAGAUGAACAUCUUGUUUGCAAUCUUUCCCUUUUUCUUUUCCAAAAGACACCCUGGUUAGUGAGAAGUAAUUUCUUUAGAUGCAACUUUUUGAUUAUCAAGUUAUUUAAUUCUUCUGUUACGUUUAUGCCUGAGUUGUCACUGUCUCCCUUUCUUAGUCUAUUUUUAAAUAUUAUUUUAAGAUGGACUGGAUCACUACCUACUUGCUUUGAUAGAUCUGCUUGUAGCACCUCAACAUAAAAUUGUUUGUUUUAAACUAUGAAGAUUUUUUCUUUGUUUUGUCAUUUCUAUCAUUUUAAAUUUCCUUAAUCGUUAUGUGUGUUAGUUCCUUAUUCGCAACAUUCUAAAUUUCCUUUUUAUAAUUAUUAUCAUUAUUAUUAUUAUUAUUAUUAUUAUUAUUAUUAUUAUUAUUAUUAUUAUUUAGAGGAACUGCUUUUAUAAAAGUGAUUAAGAACUUUUCAGAGAAGAAGUGUAGAAAGAACCUCAUUGUAUCUGUAAACAUUAAUCACUUAAGUCAAUAUCAAGCCAAUAAAUUUCAUUUUCAAGGAAUUCGUUGUGGUUAAGGAAUAAAUCUUCUUCUAUUAGGCUACGAAUUAGAUUUUCUAACAUAAAAAAAUGAAUAUCUUCGUUUAAAAGAAUGCAUUUGAUAAUCGUAAUUAUAAUUUUCUCAGGGAGGAAGUAUGUGUAAAAGUUCGUGUUAGAUUUUCGCGAGAUAGAAAAUCAGGCAAAGAAUUUUCACUACCCUUCUUAUAUUGUAUUUCAUAAUCAAAAGGGGCUAAUUGAGCUUGCCAUCUUGCAAAUAUCAAUUUAAAGGCAUCAUGUUUAAAGUCUUUGUUAAACAUAAAUUUAACGGAUUGAGCAUCAGUUCUAAUUAUAAAUCUUUGAUUAUACAAAUCAUCUUGAAAUUUUAAAAUACAUUUUACAAUAGUUAACAUUUCAUGGGUUACUGUGACGUAUUUUUUCUGACUUUCAGUCCAUUUACCAAAAUAAAAUCGAAUCAAAAAUUCUAUUUUUGUAUGGGGAUUAACUUGUUUAAGUAUUCCGUCAUACCCAAUAUUAGAAGCAUCAGUUUCAAUGAUUUUUAACCAGUUAGGAUUUGCAAGGGGUACAAGGAAGAGUUUGAACUCGGUUUUUAAUUAAUUUUACUAAAUUAAUGUGGACUUGAGUUCAAGGAGUUUUGUGAUCCUUUUUUAGUCUAUCAUAUAAAGGAGCUAAAUUUCUAGACAGAUUUCAUAAAAAGGGGAAAUAUAGUUAAGACUAUCGAGGAAUCUUUGAAGUUGUUUUUUAUCAGUAAUAAUAUCAGGGAAUUUUUUAGCAAAUUCUAGAACUCGUUGUAUAGGCUCAAUAGAACCUUGAGAAAUAUUAUGUCUUAAAAAUCUAAUACUUGUCUGGAAUAAACUUAUCUUUGGUUUGGAGAUGACUAAGCCAUUUUGAAUAAUUAUUUGUUUAAACGUAUGCAAAUGUUUAAAAUGAGAUUCAAGGGUUUUUGAGAAUACUAAAAUAUCAUCAAUAUAAACAAUGAUAAAGUCCAUAUAGGGAUUAAAAAUGUCAUUCAUAAUUUUUUGAAAUUCAGAAGGAGCAUUCUUUAAACCGAAUGACAUAAUAUUCCAUUCAUACUGUCCAAAAGGGACAUUAAAAGCAGUUCUAUAAGUAUUUUCUUUAUCAAUUUGAAUUUGCCAAUACCCAGAUUUCAAAUCAAAUUUAGAGAAUAUAUUAGUAUCAUAUAAUCUGGAAAGAAAGUCUUUUUUAUUCGGUAUAGGAUAUCGAAUUCAUUUUAAAACUUUAUUCAGAGGUUUAUAGUUUAUAACUAAUCGAGGUAUUCCUCGUUCUUUUUCAGCAGCAUUAUUGACAUAAAAAGCAGUACAAGAUCAAGGGGAUUUUGAGGGUUUUAUAAGAUUUUUUUGCAGAAGACUGUCAAUUUCUGUCUUACAGAAUUCUACUAACUCUGUAUUCAUUUGACAGGGUCGAGAUUUUGUUGGAAUUUGUUCUUCACUGAAGUCAUUUUCAUAAGGAAGAGAAACAAUAUGUUUCUUUCGGUUUCAGAAAGCAUUUGGAUGAUCCGCACAAAUAUCAAGAAUCAAUUGAUUAGAAAUAUUUUUAUUUUUUCUUGGACUUUCACUGAUUUUAAAGUAUAAAAAAUAGAAAUACUCAUUAGUUCUAAUUGUAAGAAAUUAAUUUUCUUUUGUUUCAUACUGAUAAGGGCAUUUAUAUCCCUUGUUACAGGAUUAGUAACAAAAGGAUAAGAGAUUUAUUUAUUCUUAUAAGUAGUCUUAAAAUCAUUUACAUUAAUAUGUGUAUAAGGAUAAAUAGCAUUUAUAAAAGGUGUUCCUAGGAUAAUAGGAGGAUAUAACUGAUUUUUUACUAAAAAAAAGAAAUGUGGAUUGCAGACUUUAUCUCGACAUAUAUGAGUAUUUGGUAACUUAUAGUUGAUAUCAAGAGUAUGACCAGAUGCAGACUUGACUAUGUGAGUAGUUUCUUCAAAAUAUCUGGUUGGAAUUAGUCCUUCUUGAAUACAACUAACAUCAGCAUCACUAUUAAUCAUAGCAUGAAGAUAGAAAAUUUCUUAUUUAUCAAAAUAGUGCAAUUUAUAUACAUGAGCAGUAACUAUUUGCAUUAUCCCCAAGAAAUAAUCCCUUUUUAAAUCUUCUGUUGGACUAAGUUUAUCAAUUUCAGAAUUUUCAGAGUAUUUCAAAUCCUUUUCUUUUCCUUUUUGAAGUAAUAGAAGUUUCAGGGAUGUCAAUAAUCUUUUCUUCAAUUUUUAAAAUUCUAUGAUCGGAGAUUAUCUGAUUUUGUUUUAAGGAGACAAUUUUUUUUUUUAAUUGUUCAACUUCGAUUUUUGAAUCAUUAAAGGUAGUAUUUCUACCUGGAGUUUGAAUCAACGCAAAAUGUCGAUUAACUUCGGCUAAGGAAUAUGACAUGUGAUAAUUAUCAUAAUAGUUAUCUUUAGAAAUACUAGUAUUAGCAGAAGUUUUUUGAGUAGCAAAAUUAAUGAUUUUUUUACAAAGUUUUUUAUCAGUAACUUCUUUCAGUAAUUCAAGGACAUUAUUAGCAGUAAGAGUUUGAACAUUUAAAUCAAGAUCUUCGAAUUGCGCUUGAAGUUUAUACAUCAUUUCAUCACAAUUACAAAUAUCAUUAUCACAAUCAUUACAUUUAUCAACCUGAUUGAGUUCACUAUCAGAAUUUGGUAAUUCAAAAUCAUUUUCAGAUGUAGAAUCAGAUUCGGAAUCAN